RNAcentral lists this ribosomal RNA (253 nucleotides) under uncultured bacterium. RNAcentral describes it as "partial 16S ribosomal RNA". It matches the Rfam family "Bacterial small subunit ribosomal RNA", at positions 524 to 776 of the family's 1533-position model. The record is from RNAcentral.
UACAGAGGCCUCGAGCGUUAGGCGGAAUCACUGGGCUUAAAGCGUGUGUAGGUGGAUGCCUAAGUACCUUGUGAAAUCCCAUGGCUUAACCAUGGAAUUGCUUGGUAUACUGGGUGUCUUGAGCCACUCAGGGGCUACCGGAACAAGCGGUGGAGCGGUGAAAUGCGUAGAUAUCGUAAGGAAGACCAGUGGCGAAGGCGGGUCUCUGGACAGUUCCUGACGCUGAGGCACGAAGGCCAGGGGAGCAAACGGG